UUAUUAAUUUAUUUGUCAUGAGAUAAAACACCAUAUAAUUUUGUCUCCUGGAGAUGAGGUUAUAUUCCAACUUUUAAAACCAUCGCUAUUAGAGGUUGCUUCUAUCUUCGAUAGUUAAGCGAUCCAUGAAAUGGUGAUGACCUGAAGUUUGGUACAAAU
RNAcentral lists this non-coding RNA (159 nucleotides) under Henningerozyma blattae CBS 6284. RNAcentral's name for it is "Tetrapisispora blattae CBS 6284 Small nucleolar RNA snR42". It matches the Rfam family "Small nucleolar RNA snR42", at positions 159 to 349 of the family's 349-position model. The record is from Rfam by way of RNAcentral. Lineage: Eukaryota; Fungi; Ascomycota; Saccharomycetes; Saccharomycetales; Saccharomycetaceae.